GGACGAUGCCAAAAAGCAGGUCCACCCUAAAAAGGUGAAAAUUUGCAGUAUUGAAGACAUUCAAAGAAGCUGCUGAAGACACUGAGAGCAAUUCCAGUUAUUAGCAGAUGUGUGGUCCUGUCAGUGUAAAUCAACUCCACCAAAACACCUUCAUCUUGGACUUCUUGACAAAAGAUUGCCUUCAAUAAAGAAAGAGGAAAUAAGGAGGGAGAAGAAAAUCAAUCCCUCCUCUUUUCAUUGAAUGAUGUUUGCCUGAUCCUUUCCAGGAACACUCAAGAAGCAAGGAACCAGAUUUUCCUCAGUUAACUUUGAACCUGGAAUUUGUGUUACUGCUUUGGUUAUAUUCCUAAUAAGCCACUAGUGUACACUACAGGAACAAGUGGAAAUGAAGACAGAGAGGAUGAUUUCCUUAAGAAUGUUCUCCCAGGUGGGAUUUAUUAAGAGAAGAUGUAUUUCUUCUUCUGUGUCACGAAGACAUUUUUUCAUCUGUAUUCUCCAAGGAACUUCAUGGUGAAAUAGAUAAAAUGUCAGAAAUAAUUAAGAAAAAUGCAAGGGUAUCCAACAACCUAAAGUUAUACCUUUUGGUGAUGCCUAGUUUUCAUCUCUUCGGUCCCUUGAGAGAUACAAACACCAACUUAUCACAUCCUUUAGAUGAUGAUGUGUUAAAUUAAUGUGAAUGAACUCAUGGUACGGUAACUGGGGAGGAUGACAAAGAAAUUUUCUUAGAGAGCAGAGGUCGUGGAAUCUAAGAGGUCAAUAUACACUAUGCAAUAGAUACAGGAUGUAGAAUCUUUAAGUAUUGUUGUUUAAAAAGCCUCCUAAAUAUCUUUUAUCAUUUUCAUUUGUUUCAAUCAUACUUUUAUUUUAUCACUUUUUAACCUACUAUUUUCUUUAACCACAAAACUUGCCUUUUUAAACAUUUGUUUCAGUUUUUCCUUUUACCUUUCAGUCUUAGGUGUUUAGAGAACUAUGGUAGUAAAAACAACACACAGAGAAAGUGGACCACCUGUAUCAGAAAUGUGAUAACUCACAAUCAUGGGACUCUCCUUUGUAAAGACUUAGCAUAUAUUUUCUUACCUCAGUUGAAAUACUUUUAUUCUAGAUGUACAAACUAAUUUUAAUGAAAUGUUCCUAAGAAUCAGUUUUUUCUGAUUGGCCAUGAUAAAUAGAUAUGAAUCAUUUAUUAAUAUUCUAUUAAUUAUUUGAAACAUGUGUUAUUAAGAUUAGAUAAGAACUAGAUAAAAUAUCUGUAACUAUAUAUAUCUGCCUAUCUAAAACUUUUAAUUACUCAUUAGUAGUGGUAGUUAUAAUAAAACAGAUAAAAGCUUUAAAAUAUACCAGUAUCAAGCAAGUUGAGCAAGUUGCUCCCAGCAUAAAUUUAGCUCUGCUCUUCAAAGCCAUACAUUUUAAACAGGACAAGGUGAUCCUUGGACUAACUCUGUCUUUGGAUGGGCACACAUGUUUAAUUCUGGGAACAAUAUUAGGUAUUUUAUUUGCCUGCAGCUAUGAACCACAUUCUUCAAUAUUAGCUAUAUAAAUAAUAAAGGUCUCUAACUUGCCUUGGCUUUCUUUAAACCAAAUAAUAAAAGUCUCUAAUUGGCCUUGGCUUUCUGAUAAACUUGGAUAGGGAAGAAGUUAUUGGCUUUCAGGCUUCUAGAGAUACCAGCAAUGCUAAGGCCUUAUCUGGAUAACUAAAAAUCCCAAUUAAUGGAAUCUAAAAUAUCAAUAUUUUAAUAUAUCUAAUACAUUAAAGUUGCAAUAUUUAUUUACAAAUAUAUUUUUGUAUAUAUUCUAUAAUAUCUUGGAUACUUCACAGAAAUUCUCAUAAGUGGGAAAUUUAAAACUAUACCCUUGCAUCUAGAGAGAUAAAUUUUGGAUAUAUAACCAAGAAUAUACUUGUAAUUAGAAAAUGCUCUCAUGACCUCAUUGUGGAUUUAACAUGUUCACUUCCAAAUUUUUAAUUCAAGUUUUCAUUUGGCAACAUGAGAUGUAAAAAUAUUUUGAACAUUUUAAACUAAAUAGAUGUAAAAGACAUUUUAGACAUUUAAAAUAUAUGUACUUUAACUAAUAAUUGAAUUUGAAAUGUAUUUAUGAAAGUUGAUUUUCCAUAUACAUAAAUAUGUGCCUAUAUGUAAAUGUUAAACUUUCUAUUUUAUAUACAUAAAAUUCAAUAUACUGCUAUUUGAUUUUUUUUUUUUUGCUUUUUUUGACAAUUAACAAUUGUGUAUAUUUAAGGUGUACAAUUUGAUGAUUUGAUAUACAUAUGUAUAGUGCAUCAUUACCACAUUCAAGCGAAUUAACAUAUCCAUCCCUUAGCUACUUACCAUUUUCUUGUG
Molecule: long non-coding RNA, 2336 nt
Organism: Globicephala melas (long-finned pilot whale)
Lineage: Eukaryota; Metazoa; Chordata; Mammalia; Artiodactyla; Delphinidae
Source: RefSeq, a predicted model, not a curated record